GGUGAGUAACACGNGGGCAACCUGCCUGUAAGAUCGGGAUAACUCCGGGAAACCGGGGCUAAUACCGGAUAAUACUUCUUCUCGCGUGGGGAGAAGCNGAAAGAUGGCUUCGGCUAUCGCUUACAGAUGGGCCCGCGGCGCAUUAGCUAGUUGGUAGGGUAACGGCCUACCAAGGCAACGAUGCGUAGCCGACCUGAGAGGGUGAUCGGCCACACUGGGACUGAGACACGGCCCAGACUCCUACGGGAGGCAGCAGUAGGGAAUCUUCCGCAAUGGACGAAAGUCUGACGGAGCAACGCCGCGUGAGUGAUGAAGGUUUUCGGAUCGUAAAACUCUGUUGUGAGGGAAGAACAAGUACCGUUCGAAGAGGGCGGUACCGUGACGGUACCUCACCAGAAAGCCCCGGCUAACUACGUGCCAGCAGCCGCGGUAAUACGUAGGGGGCAAGCGUUGUCCGGAAUUAUUGGGCGUAAAGCGCGCGCAGGCGGUCUUUUAAGUCUGAUGUGAAAUCUCGCGGCUCANCCGCGAGCGGUCAUUGGAAACUGGAGGACUUGAGUGCAGAAGANGAGAGUGGAAUUCCACGUGUAGCGGUGAAAUGCGUAGAGAUGUGGAGGAACACCAGUGGCGAANGCNACUCUCUGGUCUGUAACUGACGCUGANGUGCGAAAGCGUGGGGAGCGAACAGGAUUANAUACCCUGGUNNUCCACGCC
Molecule: ribosomal RNA, 711 nt
Filed under: Virgibacillus sp. AS25
Lineage: Bacteria; Bacillati; Bacillota; Bacilli; Caryophanales; Bacillaceae
Description: bacterial SSU rRNA
Rfam family: Bacterial small subunit ribosomal RNA
Source: RNAcentral